Globicephala melas (long-finned pilot whale) is the source of this 1063-nucleotide long non-coding RNA. RefSeq lists it as uncharacterized. The record is from RefSeq and is a predicted model, not a curated record. Lineage: Eukaryota; Metazoa; Chordata; Mammalia; Artiodactyla; Delphinidae.
UCGAGGGGACGAGUAACGCAUCUUCCUCACAGUGCUUCUCAGGGGUCAGCCCGCUCCUCACUCGACGGUGAUCAAUACUCGACGCGGCUCGGACCACCUCCUGUGCCCCUGGACUCCGCCCUAAGGGUCCUCUGGCGUCUGUGACGGCGCGGGUCCCGGCCUCUUCAGUCGGCUCAGGCCAGCCCUUCAGGGGUCCCUCCAGUCCCCUCCCCCCCGGCACUUUCUCUAACCGAGGAAGGAGCGGAGAGGAACGUGGCUGAAUCAAGGGACCUGCGAGCCUAUGGAUGAGUUCUAAACCCGAGAGCCAAUUAAAUAUUAUUGGAACCUACUGUAAGGUUAGGGAAGGGGAGGUUAGGAGGCGGAGAGGCUAAGUCCCACGGCGGCGGGUCCAGCCCCGGAACCCAGCACAGCCCUCCCUCGGCCCUUCCCCGCCGUCAGGACGAGGGGCGCUGCCAUCCCAGCCGGGACCCUGCGCCUCCCCGCCCCCGAUUCCCCUCAGGACGCGCAAGUCGGCCCCUCCCCACCCACGCCGGCCGAGCAAGCCGAGCGGAGGGCAGGGGCGAGACGAAGGGCCAAAGUUCCCCGGACUAAGACGCCGCGCGCAGGUCUUCCUACACAUCAGCUGCGGCUCUGGGAGAACGCCUGCGCCUCAAAGGAAACGUCUUGGAUGGAUGCCCAACUGCUACCAAAACCGGUGAGGGUAUCGCUCACCUCUGCAUCCUCGGUGUCUACAAGAGCGCCUGGCAUAUGGUAGAAGUCUGGCGGGCCUCUCACUGUUGUGGCCUCUCCCGUUGCAGAGCACAGGCUCCGGACGCGCAGGCUCAGCGGCCAUGGCUCACGGGCCCAGCCGCUCCGCGGCAUGUGGGAUCCUCCCGGACUGGGGCACGAACCCGCACCCCCUGCAUCGGCAGGCGGACUCUCAAUCACUGCGCCACCAGGGAAGCCCCCCUUCCUGUAUUUUUAUUAGCCACAUUGAAAGGAAAAUGAUCAGAUGAUUGUAUAGAAUUUUAAAGCGAACAACGUGCCUUUAAAAUUGCUUAAUAAACAAGUGGUUUAAAUAUCA